Long non-coding RNA from Orcinus orca (killer whale), 1010 nucleotides. RefSeq lists it as uncharacterized. The transcript has 7 exons. Lineage: Eukaryota; Metazoa; Chordata; Mammalia; Artiodactyla; Delphinidae. The record is from RefSeq and is a predicted model, not a curated record.
UGUUUGCUUAUUUAUUUAUCAUGCACCUGCUGAGAUUUAUCACUGUGUUAUGUACUCUCGUCCUCAGACACAAGGUCCAGCUUUUCUUCCAGAAGAGUUUACAGUGUAGGUGGGAGAGCACCUGACACCUCACCUGACACCUGACAGCAGUUCCAGAGGCUGCCCUGCUGAAGUUGGAUCCCUGACUGGCUACGCAACUCUGCCCCGUCCCUGUCCAGCCCUAGGCUCUACUUUCCUGACUCAGAGCAUUCGAUGCCUUGGUGGUUUGUAUAUAUUGAGAAUUUGAAUGUGUUGGAGCAGAAUAUUGUGGUGGGGACCAAACUCGACGGGGAAAACUGGGACGAGUUGAUAGGGAGGAGUUUUGUUGCCUUCGUACUAACCUGGACAUACUAAUCUGAGACGAGGCCUUGGGUGCUGGUAUGAAGGGAUCCAGGACACCAGAAUAAGGAAGUAGAGAAGUGGAACAGGGAAUGGUGGAAAGCCAGUGUAAAAGGCGGCCUCUGCCACAGGGAGAAUUCUCAGCAUUGUGUGACAAUGUAAGGAAUGCCAACAGAAAGAAUAACUACAUGAUCGAGAACAGGUGAUGAAUAUUCUUCCAAAAGAAGCCUUUGCAGAAUAUAUGACCUCUCUUUAAGCUUCUGCCUGGCUAAGACGCUACACCAUAUUUUUCUUCACAGAAUAGAUGUACACAUCUUCCUUCCAGAAGGACUUGAGUGAAGAGCAACACCAGAUGAAAAGAAUGGACUAUGUUGCGGUUGAUUCGGUGGACUCAGCAGAAGGUGAUGAAAACACUGAAAUGGCAGCAGAGGUCCAGAAACAGCAAUCUACAACACUCCAUGUAACUAUCUCUAUUGAGUUGUUACUUAAUACAAACUGAUGAAUGAUCUUGGUAAUUACUAUAAAACUGUGAUCUUCAAGUGUGAAAAUAUGUAUUGUGGAUGACAAAGGUACACUUAGUUCAUUCUUUUGUAGCCACUGAAAUCUUAAAUAAAAUUAAUUUCUGCACUGAA